Lynx canadensis (Canada lynx) is the source of this 577-nucleotide long non-coding RNA. RefSeq lists it as uncharacterized. The record is from RefSeq and is a predicted model, not a curated record. The transcript has 2 exons. Lineage: Eukaryota; Metazoa; Chordata; Mammalia; Carnivora; Felidae.
UACAAAAUCUAUGGUUGCCCUGGGGUGAGGACAGAGAGCACCCAGGGAGCACUGCUGGUGUGGACUUGGAAGGCCACAGCUUUGGGAACCAGGCUCCAGCCCUUUUCUGCACUGAAGGUUCCGUGAAGUGGAGCCAACUCCUCAACCCAGGCCAGUACCUCAGUCUUCUCAACUGAAAAGUGGGACUACUGUUGCCCCUAAGGUAACAUCCCUGGUGCCCUAUUUGGAGGGAAAAGCCAUUUUCAAGUGCUAGACCCACGUUGCCAGCCUGACAGAAGAGGGAUUGCUGGUUCCUUCUCAUUCUGUUUUGCCUCUGUUCAAAGUCGAGAGAGGCACCUGGGUGAGACGGCGAAGCCAGAGGAGGAGGCUGCAGAGAGCAAGGAGCUCAGGGGUUUAAAAAAACCUCACCCGCUUUUGUUUUGCAAGUCCUUACUGGUCUGUCCACAGCCACCCCAGGGCACCUUUUCAUCUCUGGCGUUGUUAAUAAUGACUUUCACCCCAGACCAUCUUGGAAGCUGAUCCUGCUGCAGCCUCACCUGUACAACUUGGUCCAAAAAAAAAAAAAAAAAAAAAAAAA